CGGCCGCGUCGACGAGCAAACAGGAUUAGAUACCCUGGUAGUCCACGCCGUAAACGAUGUCGACUAGCCGUUGGGAUCCUUGAGAUCUUAGUGGCGCAGCAAACGCAUUAAGUCGACCGCCUGGGGAGUACGGCCGCAAGGUUAAAACUCAAAUGAAUUGACGGGGGCCCGCACAAGCGGUGGAGCAUGUGGUUUAAUUCGAAGCAACGCGAAGAACCUUACCAGGCCUUGACAUGCAGAGAACUUUCCAGAGAUGGAUUGGUGCCUUCGGGAACUCUGACACAGGUGCUGCAUGGCUGUCGUGUCGACGCGGCCG
Molecule: ribosomal RNA, 316 nt
Filed under: uncultured Pseudomonas sp.
Lineage: Bacteria; Pseudomonadati; Pseudomonadota; Gammaproteobacteria; Pseudomonadales; Pseudomonadaceae
Description: bacterial SSU rRNA
Rfam family: Bacterial small subunit ribosomal RNA
Source: RNAcentral